GGUCUGUCUCUUAUAAUCGAAGCGUUCAUCGCCAAUCCAGUUAGGGCUAAAAAAUAUAGGCAUGGGGAGAGGGAAGAUCGUGAUUAGGAGAAUCGACAAUUCGACGAGCAGGCAGGUAACGUUCUCCAAGCGAAGAAACGGUUUACUGAAGAAGGCGAAGGAGCUCGCAAUCCUGUGUGACGCUGAGGUAGGAGUUAUGAUCUUCUCGAGCACCGGCAGGCUCUACGACUUCGCCAGCACAAGCAUGAAAUCAGUAAUCGAACGAUACGGCAAAACUAAAGAGGAAAAUCAUCAACUAGGAAGUUCAACUUCUGAAGUGAAGUUUUGGCAAAGGGAGGCAGCAAUGUUGAGGCAGCAAUUGCAGAACUUGCAAGAGAAUCAUCGGCAAAUAAUGGGAGAAGAACUUUCAGGUUUGACUGUCAAGGAAUUACAGAGUCUAGAGAGCCAGUUGGAAAUUAGCCUUCGAGGUGUCCGUUUAAAAAAGGAUCAACUUUUAAUGGAGGAAAUACAGGAAAUAAACCAAAAGGUCAGUUCCAAAACAAAGGAUUACCAGUUCUCCAAUUCUUCAUUAAUUCAAACGUGUUCAUUUUCUGCAGGGAAACCUCUUACAGGAAGAAAAUGUGGAACUUCGAAAGAAGGUAAACCUAGUUCAUCAAGAAAACAAGGAAUUAAAAAAGAAGGUCUAUGGAAAAAUAGAUGGAAAUGGAACAGACAGAAACUCAGCUCUCACGGAUGGCCUAGGCAUAGGAGAGAAUUUGCACGUGCCAGUAAAUCUCCAGCUUAGUCAACCUCAUCAGCAAAACCAUGAGCCACCCUCGGGAGGCACAGAGUUGGGAUUGCAGCUGCACUGACGCAUCUACAGGUGAAUUCUGUACAUUGAUUGCUAUCAAGUAAAUGGGCUCAGAUCUGGGAUGUAUGCUUUCUGAUACUAAAAUGCAUUACAUACACUAUAAACCAAUUUAAAAUUAUUUUUAACAAAGUAAUUCUAGCAUGCUUGUGAUAAACAGUGAACAGAGCAUUUAAUGUAAUGUUAUGACUAAAUAAACCAAGAAAUUCUUAGA
This is an RNA transcript of Neltuma alba, 1061 nucleotides long. It is a transcript of the gene named MADS-box transcription factor 23-like, with no coding region annotated. The record is from RefSeq and is a predicted model, not a curated record. The transcript has 8 exons. Lineage: Eukaryota; Viridiplantae; Streptophyta; Magnoliopsida; Fabales; Fabaceae.